GACGAACGCUGGCGGCGUGCCUAAUACAUGCAAGUCGAGCGAGCGGAACUAACAGAUUUACUUCGGUAAUGACGUUAGGAAAGCGAGCGGCGGAUGGGUGAGUAACACGUGGGGAACCGGCCCCAUAGUCGGGGAUACAACUGGGAAACAGGUGCAAAUACCGGUAAAGAAAGCAGAUCGCAUGAUCAGCUUUUAAAAGCCGGCGAAACCGGUCCCGAUGGGAGGGCCCCGGGGUGCAUUAGCAAGUUGGUAAGGUAAAGGCUUACCAAGGCGGGGAUGCAUAGGCGAGUCGAGAGACUGAUCCGCCACAUUGGGACUUAGACCCCGCCCAAACUCCCACGGGAGGCAGCAGUAGGGAAUCUUCCACAAUGGACGCAAGUCUGAUGGAGCAACGCCGCGUGAGUGAAGAAGGUUUUCGGAUCGUAAAGCUCUGUUGUUGGUGAAGAAGGAUAGAGGUAGUAACUGGCCUUUAUUUGACGGUAAUCAACCAGAAAGUCACGGCUAACUACGU
Molecule: ribosomal RNA, 511 nt
Filed under: uncultured bacterium
Lineage: Bacteria
Description: partial 16S ribosomal RNA
Rfam family: Bacterial small subunit ribosomal RNA
Source: RNAcentral